GUAGGGAAUAUUGGUCAAUGGAGGCAACUCUGAACCAGCCAUGCCGCGUGUAGGAAGAAGGCGUUCUGCGUUGUAAACUACUUUUGAUUGGGAACAAAUGACUCUUGCGAGAGUAGCUGAGUGUACCAAUAGAAUAAGCCACGGCUAACUACGUGCCAGCAGCCGCGGUAAUACGUAGGUGGCAAGCGUUGUCCGGAUUUAUUGGGUUUAAAGGGUGCGUAGGCGGCUUAAUAAGUCAGUGGUGAAAGCCGAUCGCUUAACGAUCGAACUGCCAUUGAUACUGCUAGGCUUGAGUAUAGUUGAGGUAGGCGGAAUUGACAGUGUAGCGGUGAAAUGCAUAGAUAUUGUCAAGAACACCAAUUGCGAAGGCAGCUUACUAAAGUAUAACUGACGCUGAGGCACGAAAGUGCGGGGAUCAAACAGGAUUAGAAACCCGGGUAGUCC
This 444-nucleotide ribosomal RNA is filed under the name uncultured bacterium. RNAcentral describes it as "bacterial SSU rRNA". It matches the Rfam family "Bacterial small subunit ribosomal RNA", at positions 354 to 796 of the family's 1533-position model. The record is from RNAcentral.